This 254-nucleotide ribosomal RNA is filed under the name uncultured bacterium. RNAcentral's name for it is "partial 16S ribosomal RNA". It matches the Rfam family "Bacterial small subunit ribosomal RNA", at positions 524 to 776 of the family's 1533-position model. RNAcentral also lists the same sequence under 3 other names. The record is from RNAcentral.
CACGUAGGGGGCAAGCGUUGUCCGGAUUUAUUGGGCGUAAAGAGCUCGUAGGUGGCUCGGUAAGUCGGGUGUGAAAUUUCGAGGCUCAACCUCGAGACGCCACCUGAUACUGCUGUGGCUAGAGUCCGGUAGGGGAGCGUGGAAUUCCUGGUGUAGCGGUGAAAUGCGCAGAUAUCAGGAGGAACACCAGCGGCGAAGGCGGCGCUCUGGGCCGGUACUGACACUGAGGAGCGAAAGCGUGGGGAUCAAACAGG